AGAGUUUGAUCCUGGCUCAGGAUGAACGCCGGCGGUGUGCCUAAUACAUGCAAGUCGUACGCACUGGCCCAACUGAUUGAUGGUGCUUGCACCUGAUUGACGAUGGAUCACCAGUGAGUGGCGGACGGGUGAGUAACACGUAGGUAACCUGCCUCGGAGCGGGGGAUAACAUUUGGAAACAGAUGCUAAUACCGCAUAACAACAAAAGCCACAUGGCUUUUGUUUGAAAGAUGGCUUUGGCUAUCACUCUGGGAUGGACCUGCGGUGCAUUAGCUAGUUGGUAAGGUAACGGCUUACCAAGGCAAUGAUGCAUAGCCGAGUUGAGAGACUGAUCGGCCACAAUGGAACUGAGACACGGUCCAUACUCCUACGGGAGGCAGCAGUAGGGAAUCUUCCACAAUGGGCGCAAGCCUGAUGGAGCAACACCGCGUGAGUGAAGAAGGGUUUCGGCUCGUAAAGCUCUGUUGUUGGAGAAGAACGUGCGUGAGAGUAACUGUUCACGCAGUGACGGUAUCCAACCAGAAAGUCACGGCUAACUACGUGCCAGCAGCCGCGGUAAUACGUAGGUGGCAAGCGUUAUCCGGAUUUUUUGGGCGUAAAGCGAGCGCAGGCGGUUGCUUAGGUCUGAAUGUGAAAACACUUCGGCUGAACCGAAGAAGUGCAUCGGAAGCCGGGCGACUUGAGGGCAGAAGAGGACAGUGGAACUCCAUGUGUAGCGGUGGAAUGCGUAGAUAUAUGGAAGAACACCAGUGGCGAAGGCGGCUGUCUGGUCUGCAACUGACGCUGAGGCUCGAAAGCAUGGGUAGCGAACAGGAUUAGAUACCCUGGUAGUCCAUGCCGUAAACGAUGAGUGCUAGGUGUUGGAGGGUUUCCGCCCUUCAGUGCCGGAGCUAACGCAUUAAGCACUCCGCCUGGGGAGUACGACCGCAAGGUUGAAACUCAAAGGAAUUGACGGGGGCCCGCACAAGCGGUGGAGCAUGUGGUUUAAUUCGAAGCUACGCGAAGAACCUUACCAGGUCUUGACAUCUUGCGCUAACCUUAGAGAUAAGGCGUUCCCUUCGGGGACGCAAUGACAGGUGGUGCAUGGUCGUCGUCAGCUCGUGUCGUGAGAUGUUGGGUUAAGUCCCGCAACGAGCGCAACCCUUGUUACUAGUUGCCAGCAUUAAGUUGGGCACUCUAGUGAGACUGCCGGUGACAAACCGGAGGAAGGUGGGGACGACGUCAGAUCAUCAUGCCCCUUAUGACCUGGGCUACACACGUGCUACAAUGGACGGUACAACGAGUCGCAAGCUCGCGAGAGUAAGCUAAUCUCUUAAAGCCGUUCUCAGUUCGGACUGUAGGCUGCAACUCGAAUACACGAAGUCGGAAUCGCUAGUAAUCGCGGAUCAGCAUGCCGCGGUGAAUACGUUCCCGGGCCUUGCACA
RNAcentral lists this ribosomal RNA (1424 nucleotides) under uncultured bacterium. Its description in RNAcentral is "16S ribosomal RNA". It matches the Rfam family "Bacterial small subunit ribosomal RNA". The record is from RNAcentral.